This 119-nucleotide ribosomal RNA is filed under the name Pteropus alecto (black flying fox). Lineage: Eukaryota; Metazoa; Chordata; Mammalia; Chiroptera; Pteropodidae. The record is from RNAcentral.
GUCUACCGCCAUGCCACCUUGAACACACCCGAUCCCGUCUGAUCUCAGAAGCUAAGCAGGGUUGGGCCUGGUUAGUAUUUGGAUGGGAGAUCACCUAGGAAGACCAGGUGCUGUAGACG